Molecule: non-coding RNA, 981 nt
Organism: Nicotiana tabacum (common tobacco)
Lineage: Eukaryota; Viridiplantae; Streptophyta; Magnoliopsida; Solanales; Solanaceae
Source: RefSeq, a predicted model, not a curated record
AAUACAAAGAUGGAUUUAGACUCUAAGACCUAGGAGGAGCCGCAAUUCACGACCCAUUUGACUCCCAUUUUUCUACCUCAUUAAAGACGAAAAUCAAUACCUAUCACAAAAGGAGGAAUCAGCGCUGCGAAAAUCGAGGCCCUUCUCCUUCGUCUUCAUUUCUGAAAACACACACAUCAGCCAUCACCCAUCUAAAAAACCUAGCCUUCCCAUCUCUUCUCCAUUCUCUCAUCUGAAGCCAUACACUCCUUUGCGCUAUCAAUCUCACACGGAUUUAAACCCCUUCCCAAGAGAUGAAACAAAAGGCUGAUUUCAAACAUUUUGAUUCUCGGAUCCGAGAGUAAGAAAACAGAGGAAUUUCCAAAAAAAAAGAAGAGAAAACAAAGAAGAAAGAGCGGGAUAGAUAGAACUUCCAUGAUCAUUUGAAUAUGCUGUUGGUUGUUUCGAUUUUUGGGGGUUUCCUUUGAGUUUGUUGCCGAUUUGAAAUGAGGUGUUGACAUGCGAGUCAGCUGAGAAUGGAUAUUCUGGAGUUUGAGGUGCUAGAAAUCGUUGCUGUCUGCUGCUGUUACUGCUGAUUUUUGCUUGCGCCGAGCUUUGCUGAGCUUCCUAGCUUCUUUUUGUUUCUUGCUUGUAGAGCUCUAUUUCUUUAUUUGUUCAAAAAUGAAUAAAGAAAAUAAAACACUACAAAGGCAAGACACUAGGCAUAUGAUGGCAUGAAUCUUGGGACAAACAUUUUGGUUGUUUACAUCGGCAACUAAUUUUGGUUUAAUUCCAGUCAUAUAAUUGUACUGUCGGAUGUUCUAAGUGCUAUGAAACCUACUUAUAUAUUCUUCACUUCGACACUUUGUCGGACUAUUUUAUUCGUUUACCAUGUAAUUUGUAAAUUGAUGUUAAAUGCUUGAUGAAGUUGGUCUUUGGAGCAUGUGGUAGAUCUCAGUAGCCCCUUUAUGAAAAAAAAAAUGAAUAAGAUUUUCCUGUUCA